This 253-nucleotide ribosomal RNA is filed under the name uncultured Acinetobacter sp. Its description in RNAcentral is "partial 16S ribosomal RNA". It matches the Rfam family "Bacterial small subunit ribosomal RNA", at positions 524 to 776 of the family's 1533-position model. Lineage: Bacteria; Pseudomonadati; Pseudomonadota; Gammaproteobacteria; Moraxellales; Moraxellaceae. The record is from RNAcentral.
UACGGAGGGUGCGAGCGUUAAUCGGAUUUACUGGGCGUAAAGCGUGCGUAGGUGGUCUUUUAAGUCGGAUGUGAAAUCCCUGAGCUUAACUUAGGAAUUGCAUUCGAUACUGGGAAGCUAGAGUAUGGGAGAGGAUGGUAGAAUUCCAGGUGUAGCGGUGAAAUGCGUAGAGAUCUGGAGGAAUACCGAUGGCGAAGGCAGCCAUCUGGCCUAAUACUGACACUGAGGUACGAAAGCAUGGGGAGCAAACAGG